CAGCACCUCAAGUGGUCAGGAUGAUUAUUGGGCCUAAAGCAUCCGUAGCCGGCUCUGUAAGUUUUCGGUUAAAUCUGUACGCUUAACGUACAGGCUGCCGGGAAUACUGCAGAGCUAGGGAGUGGGAGAGGUAGACGGUACCCGGUAGGAAGGGGUAAAAUCCUUUGAUCUAUUGAUGACCACCUGUGGCGAAGGCGGUCUACCAGAACACGUCCGACGGUGAGGGAUGAAAGCUGGGGGAGCAAACCGGAUUAGAUACCCGAGUAGUCC
RNAcentral lists this ribosomal RNA (270 nucleotides) under uncultured archaeon. RNAcentral describes it as "partial 16S ribosomal RNA". It matches the Rfam family "Archaeal small subunit ribosomal RNA", at positions 477 to 747 of the family's 1478-position model. The record is from RNAcentral.